This 590-nucleotide long non-coding RNA is filed under the name Homo sapiens (human). Its description in RNAcentral is "HSALNT0227893". Lineage: Eukaryota; Metazoa; Chordata; Mammalia; Primates; Hominidae. The record is from RNAcentral.
CCCGGGAGCCUUGGCAUUCUGUGAGCCUGCCAACAAAACAAACGCAGUCAGAGACAGAAAGCAUAUUUCUUAAAAGUCAACUUGAUCCACCUCCUGGAGGGGAGGCUACAUGUCCAUGUGCCAGUCACAUUAGAGUAGUCAGUUUCCUGCCAGGAGUAGCUGGAAAAUAAAACCCACAUGGGCUUUGAGAGGGCACCCUACCUGCUGACACAAUGAAGGAAAGAAUCCAAAUCAUGGAUGAAGUUGACGUCAAUAGCAAACUCCCACGAAUGUCCUCAGAUAUGCACAGUUAUUAGUUCCCAAGUGAUAGCUCUACUCCACCUAUUCAAGAGAGCACUCACAAUGACUUGAGUCAAGGAAUUACUGGAUCCUUAUGACUAACAGACAAUAGUAUUUGGUGGUCAACUAAAUCCACUUAGUAGUUACCCCUCACAGAGGCAUAUUGGCCUUACAGUUGUUCCUUCAAAUCAAUGGAGACUCCCCCUUUGUCUUCAGCUAUGACUGAAAGUUUCCUGAAGCCUCCUCAGAAGCCAAACAAAUGCCAACAUCAUGCUUCCUGUACAGUCUGCAGAACCAUGAGCCAAUUAAAU